UCCAAGUGUGAAGCGCCCUUGGAGUGCCACACAGUGCAUGAGUAAUGGGAACAGGAAGGCUACUGCCAGGACCCUGACUCAGAAACUGCGUCCUUUCCACCACGUUCCCCCCGGCUCUCACAUGAUUUCUUCUUGUGCCUUUGUUUGUCCCUCUUCUCAUCCUUGCUUGCGUUUAACGGAGGGCCGCUAGGCAAGGCAACCCGACCCUGAAAGAAGAUCCCAAAAUACCCUUAAGAUGACCUCUGCCUGCCAUGCUGUGAACAACUGUGGGUUUCAUCGAUUGAUUGACACGUGGUGUUUGCCUCUGGCGGAAUCAUCCACCCCAGUUCUCUCAUGGAUCCGGGUGCCUUCAGGAUGCUGUCUGGGGGGGGAGGUGAAUAGAGUUGGUGACUCGGGGCACAAUAGAAAUAAAAACACCACUUCACUUUUGCAGUGUU
This is a long non-coding RNA of Chinchilla lanigera (long-tailed chinchilla), 437 nucleotides long. RefSeq lists it as uncharacterized. The record is from RefSeq and is a predicted model, not a curated record. The transcript is spliced from 2 exons. Lineage: Eukaryota; Metazoa; Chordata; Mammalia; Rodentia; Chinchillidae.